This 534-nucleotide ribosomal RNA is filed under the name Bufoides meghalayanus (Khasi Hills toad). Its description in RNAcentral is "partial 16S ribosomal RNA". It matches the Rfam family "Bacterial large subunit ribosomal RNA", at positions 1809 to 2557 of the family's 2925-position model. The record is from RNAcentral. Lineage: Eukaryota; Metazoa; Chordata; Amphibia; Anura; Bufonidae.
AAAAACAUCGCCUCUUGAGCUCUUAUAAGAGGUCCAGCCUGCCCAGUGACUCUGUUCAACGGCCGCGGUAUCCUAACCGUGCGAAGGUAGCGUAAUCACUUGUUCUUUAAUUGUGGACUAGUAUGAAUGGCAUCACGAAGGUUAUACUGUCUCCUCUCUCUAAUCAGUGAAACUAAUCUCCCCGUGAAGAAGCGAGGAUAAAACUAUAAGACGAGAAGACCCUAUGGAGCUUUAAACAACAUAGCACUUGCCAAACAAAUAAAAAUUCCAGAAUCAUUAAGCUCUUCGGACAAUUUGACUAUUAGUUUUUGGUUGGGGUGACCGCGGAGCAAAAUAAAACCUCCAUGUUGAAAGAGCGCUUUUCUAAACCAAGAGCCACACCUCUAAGCAUCAACACAUUGACAUCCAUUGACCCAAUACACUUGAACAACGAACCAAGUUACCCUAGGGAUAACAGCGCAAUCCACUUCGAGAGCCCCUAUCGACAAGUGGGUUUACGACCUCGAUGUUGGAUCAGGGUCUCCCAGUGGUGCA